UACGGAGGAUUCGAGCGUUAUCCGGAUUUAUUGGGUUUAAAGGGUCCGUAGGCGGGCUAAUAAGUCAGUGGUGAAAUCUCACAGCUCAACUGUGAAACUGCCAUUGAUACUGUUAGUCUUGAAUUUAGUUGAGGUAGGCGGAAUACGUUAUGUAGCGGUGAAAUGCAUAGAUAUAACGUAGAACACCGAUUGCGAAGGCAGCUUACUAAGCUAAUAUUGACGCUGAUGGACGAAAGCGUGGGGAGCGAACAGG
RNAcentral lists this ribosomal RNA (253 nucleotides) under uncultured bacterium. Its description in RNAcentral is "partial 16S ribosomal RNA". It matches the Rfam family "Bacterial small subunit ribosomal RNA", at positions 524 to 776 of the family's 1533-position model. The record is from RNAcentral.